CAGUCGCCGCGGGAAUACGUAGGUCCCGAGCGUUGUCCGGAUUUAUUGGGCGUAAAGCGAGCGCAGGCGGUUAGAUAAGUCUGAAGUUAAAGGCUGUGGCUUAACCAUAGUACGCUUUGGAAACUGUUUAACUUGAGUGCAAGAGGGGAGAGUGGAAUUCCAUGUGUAGCGGUGAAAUGCGUAGAUAUAUGGAGGAACACCGGUGGCGAAAGCGGCUCUCUGGCUUGUAACUGACGCUGAGGCUCGAAAGCGUGGGGAGCAAACAGGAUUAGAUACCCGCGUAGUCCCUGUCUCUUAUACC
This 301-nucleotide ribosomal RNA is filed under the name uncultured bacterium. RNAcentral describes it as "partial 16S ribosomal RNA". It matches the Rfam family "Bacterial small subunit ribosomal RNA", at positions 509 to 808 of the family's 1533-position model. The record is from RNAcentral.